This 459-nucleotide long non-coding RNA is filed under the name Equus caballus (horse). Its description in RNAcentral is "lncRNA (ENSECAG00000048263.1)". Lineage: Eukaryota; Metazoa; Chordata; Mammalia; Perissodactyla; Equidae. The record is from RNAcentral.
UAGUAAUGAAAGGAAGAAGGAGAGAAAGUCCGUUGGGAGCCAGGUAACAGUCUUUUUCCCAGAUCCUCAGCCAGGCUGCCUGGUGACAACAUUCCGAGAUUGCCAGGCAACUGACUUCAUCCUCCUUCUAUCUCUGGUCUCACUUUCCUCCCUAAGUUUUCUUCUUCUCUUCAUGUUUCUGCUCUUACCUCCUUCUCAGGUUCUGCUAGCCCUUUGGGAUAUCAGGCCUUCAGAAGUAGCUCAGUCUGCCUCUGUUUCUGUGUCUAAGUCUGGGCCACCCAUGCCUGGCUCCAUCUGAGAAGGACUGCAACUGGCCCUCUGUCUUGAGCACCCUUGGUCGUGAGCACCCUCAAGACCCAGACCUCUCCCCGACCAAGAAGAAAGGCUAUAUGAGGACACAGCAAGAAGGUGGCUGCCCACCAGCCAGGAAGAGAGCCCUCACCAGGAACUGAAUCUACU